Pan troglodytes (chimpanzee) is the source of this 521-nucleotide long non-coding RNA. RefSeq lists it as uncharacterized. The transcript has 3 exons. NCBI's taxonomy places the organism in Eukaryota, Metazoa, Chordata, Mammalia, Primates, Hominidae. The record is from RefSeq and is a predicted model, not a curated record.
CAAGUUGGAUUGCUCCGAAUUUCAGUGCCUAUCGGGCAGCCAGUAAACAUUUGUCCAUCUUUAAGGCAUUAAACUGAGAAGAACCACUGAGGAAAGCAUGCCACAGUCUUUCCCAAAAUCCCUGUGUCUUAAGGAACAACCAAGAGGUUAACUGGUCAGGGAAAAGAUUUCUUUUGGAACGCAGAGAAUGGUGGGAGUUGUGAUCCGUACCUCCGUGUGCAUAAUGGUUGUACCUGCUCCAGGAAGGCGCUGGAUCCUCCCAAAUCCAUGGGAAGAGAUUAGGACACAAACAACAGACAGAAGGUGACCACAGGAGGACACAGUGAGAAGCUGGCCAUCUGCAAGCCAAGGAGAGAGACCUCAGGAGAAACCAAACCUGCCAGCACCUUGAUCUUAGACUUCUAGCCCUCAGAACGGUGAGGAAAUAAAUCUCUGUUGUUCAUGCCACCCAGUCUGUGGUGUUUUGUUAUGGCCACUCUAGCAGACUAAUACACAUGGCACUGUCCCUGUGUGUCUGUAUC